Molecule: ribosomal RNA, 578 nt
Filed under: uncultured OPB56 group bacterium
Lineage: Bacteria; Pseudomonadati; Bacteroidota; Eximiradiia
Description: bacterial SSU rRNA
Rfam family: Bacterial small subunit ribosomal RNA
Source: RNAcentral
UACGGGAGGCAGCAGUGAGGAAUAUUGGUCAAUGGGCGCAAGCCUGAACCAGCAAUGCCGCGUGUGGGACGACAGGGCUUCGCCUUGUAAACCACUGUCGGAUGGGACGAGAGGGAGUAUGAACUCCUGAGACGGUACCAUCAAAGGAAGGGUCGGCUAACUACGUGCCAGCAGCCGCGGUAAUACGUAGGACCCAAGCGUUGUCCGGAUUUACUGGGUAUAAAGGGUGCGUAGGCGGUCUUGUGCGUCAGAGGUGAAAUCUCCGGGCUUAACCCGGAGGGUGCCUUUGAUACGGCAGGACUUGAGUGCGAGAGAGGAUGAUGGAAUUCCUGGUGUAGCGGUGAAAUGCGUAGAUAUCAGGAGGAACACCGGUGGCGAAGGCGGUCAUCUGGCUCGUAACUGACGCCGAGGCACGAAAGCGCGGGGAUCAAACAGGAUUAGAUACCCUGGUAGUCCGCGCCCUAAACGAUGUAUGCUUGGUGUUGGGCUCGCAAGAGCUCAGUGCCGUAGGGAAUCUGAUAAGCAUACCACCUGGGGAGUACGAUCGCAAGGUUGAAACUCAAAGGAAUUGACGGGGA